GGAGCUGUGGCUUAGUGGUAGAGCGUUUGCUUGACAAGCAGAAGGUCCCCAGUUCAAUCCCCGGCACCUCCA
Molecule: non-coding RNA, 72 nt
Organism: Gekko japonicus
Lineage: Eukaryota; Metazoa; Chordata; Lepidosauria; Squamata; Gekkonidae
Source: the annotation of a RefSeq genome assembly